Molecule: non-coding RNA, 71 nt
Organism: Podarcis lilfordi (Lilford's wall lizard)
Lineage: Eukaryota; Metazoa; Chordata; Lepidosauria; Squamata; Lacertidae
Source: the annotation of a GenBank genome assembly
GGGGCUGUAGCUGAGUGGCAAAGCACCUGCUGUGUGUGCAAAGGUCAUGGGUUCAAUCCCUGCCAUCUUUG